CUUGCUGGAACAUUCAGAUACUGGAGUAAUUCAGUACGUACAUUACACUGCUCAAUGACAAAUAUAUAUCUGAUGAAAUUUGUGCUACAAGUAAGUUUCUGUUACUACUAAUUUCGAGAAUCACAAACAUUUUCCUGAAAAUGCAAAGCCACAACAAAGUAGUUCAAUGCAAUCAGCAAUCAUAUUAGCAACAGCAUCAGAUCAGCAACAGGCCUCUUAAAUCUUAAUCCUCUAUUUUGUGUUGGAGGGAGAUCAUCAUCAAUUCCCCAGGCAGUUCUCUUCCCAAACCACAGCAAUUAUCAUAUCAUGAGCAAUUCAAGUUUAACCCUGCAAAGGAUGGCAUGGUUGACAUUAGCAAUUACAUAUCAGGAUUUGAUAAAGAAAAAAAAGGAGAGUGAGCUCUACUUUGCUAAAAUGAAUUAAACUCCAAAAAAUAUUCAGCUACUGAGUAGCUUACUCACUAGAGUUUUUUUUUAGUGUGUUGCUGCAUAAACAUGAGACAGAAAAGGAACGCUAUAAUGCGAAAACACAUGUAUUUUUUAAGCCAUGUGAUAAACAACUACCGCAAAUUAACAUGGCAGAAACCAAUCUGACCAAAUUAAAUAUGGAGCUCUUGAAUCCUGCAAUUUUAAGUGAUAAACAGAUGAAGUAAGCAGAUUCAUCUCCAUCAUCAAAAAGUGGCUAACGAGCAGUUUUUGUUUGGAGAACAACUGUGGACAGUUGCAUCACCUCCUGCUCAGAGUUCAAACAACCAUCUCAUUGAGCAGGCCUGACCACCACAAUGGUUUUCAUUUUUGUUCAGAAUAUAGUAAUGACACCAGGAAGUAAGUAGCAAUGGCCCUAUAAUACAUAACAAUUCAGACCACCUCAACGAUUAACGUUUUAUUUAGAAUCUAUUACUGAAACUAGAAAUUCUCUAAGAUGUUAGGUGACUCGGUCCACACUGCCCAACAAUUGCAAAACUUAUCUGAAACUUAUAAGAAUCCAGACCACUUAAACGUUUCCACGAAGGCAUGAAAAGAAAUAGUACUAUUCCUACUAUGUAAUACUCAAUGACAAACUUAUCCUAAUGAUUAGGAUUUUAUAAAAACUUCUACCAGCUUUCUGUUUAAAAUGACAGAAUUGGGAGCUUUCCACUGUCCAAGAAUUGAAUUCUGACCACUGAUUGGUAUCUUUCAUUUAGGAAAAUAGAAAAACUAUGUUAUGAAUAAAAUUUUCAUAUACAUGUUCUAAAAGUAAAAAAACAAAAAAUAAACUAUAAUAAAAAACAUAAACAGAGAUGAAGUUGUCUUCUACUUUUCAACUUCGAGAGGUUUCAGACUUAUGAGUUGUGUGAUGGACAACAAGCUGGCGAGCUGCCGGCCUGGUCAGGUCCCGUCCACCAUUAAUGAUCACCAUUGAUGAUAAUUGAAGAAAAAACAUAGGUUGCCAACUUAUAUGCUUACCAAAUCAAGAACAGGAUCAUAAACCUAGGUCACAACACUAACCAAAACCCUAGGAAAAAAUGAGGAGAAGAAGAACGUGCUGACCUCAUAUCUCGAAGAGGAAGGCGUGGAGGAGGAGGAGGGCGCCACUUGUGAAGGUCGCGGGGGAGACUCGUUGCCGGCGGCGAGGGGGGAGAGAGAGGGGGAAGAGGUGAUGGCGGCAACCUCAUGAGAGCUGGAGGCGGAGCCAAGACGAAGGCAUAUGCGGAGGUGGCGGUGAUGGUCUCAUGAGAGCAGGAGGCGGAGUGGCAGCAUCGUGAGAGGCGGAGGCGGAGGCGAUGACAGCUCCUCGCACGGGAAAAUGCGAGGGGA
Molecule: long non-coding RNA, 1796 nt
Filed under: Oryza brachyantha (malo sina)
Lineage: Eukaryota; Viridiplantae; Streptophyta; Magnoliopsida; Poales; Poaceae
Description: long non-coding RNA (OBRA_LNC000794)
Source: RNAcentral